RNAcentral lists this ribosomal RNA (254 nucleotides) under uncultured bacterium. RNAcentral describes it as "partial 16S ribosomal RNA". It matches the Rfam family "Bacterial small subunit ribosomal RNA", at positions 524 to 776 of the family's 1533-position model. The record is from RNAcentral.
UACAGGGGGUGCAAACGUUGCUCGGAAUCAUUGGGCGUAAAGCGCACGUAGGCGGUUCGUUAUGUCGGAUGUGAAAGCCCUUGGCUUAACCGAGGAAGUGCAUCCGAAACUGGCGAGCUAGAGUACUAAAGAGGAUCGCGGAAUUCCCGGUGUAGAGGUGAAAUUCGUAGAUAUCGGGAGGAACACCGGUGGCGAAGGCGGCGAUCUGGGUAGAUACUGACGCUGAGGUGCGAAAGCGUGGGGGAGCAAACAGG